UGCAAGUCGAGCGGACAGAUGAGGAGCUUGCUCCUCUGAAGUCAGCGGCGGACGGGUGAGUAACACGUGGGCAACCUGCCCUUAAGACUGGGAUAACUCCGGGAAACCGGGGCUAAUACCGGAUAAUGUAUCGGACCUCAUGGUCUGAUACUGAAAGGCGGCUUCGGCUGUCACUUAAGGAUGGGCCCGCGGCGCAUUAGCUAGUUGGUGAGGUAACGGCUCACCAAGGCAACGAUGCGUAGCCGACCUGAGAGGGUGAUCGGCCACACUGGGACUGAAACACGGCCCAGACUCCUACGGGAGGCAGCAGUAGGGAAUCUUCCGCAAUGGACGAAAGUCUGACGGAGCAACGCCGCGUGAGUGAAGAAGGUUUUCGGAUCGUAAAGCUCUGUUGUCAGGGAAGAACAAGUACCAUAGUAACUGAUGGUACCUUGACGGUACCUGACCAGAAAGCCACGGCUAACUACGUGCCA
This 473-nucleotide ribosomal RNA is filed under the name marine sediment bacterium ISA-7267. RNAcentral's name for it is "bacterial SSU rRNA". It matches the Rfam family "Bacterial small subunit ribosomal RNA", at positions 56 to 510 of the family's 1533-position model. The record is from RNAcentral.